UACGAAGGGGACUAGCGUUGUUCGGAAUUACUGGGCGUAAAGCGCACGUAGGCGGAUUUGUAAGUCAGGGGUGAAAUCCCGGGGCUCAACCUCGGAACUGCCUUUGAUACUGCAAAUCUCGAGUCCGAUAGAGGUGGGUGGAAUUCCUAGUGUAGAGGUGAAAUUCGUAGAUAUUAGGAAGAACACCGGUGGCGAAGGCGGCUAACUGGUCCAGAUCUGACGCCGAGGUGCGAAAGCGUGGGGAGCAAACAGG
Molecule: ribosomal RNA, 253 nt
Filed under: uncultured bacterium
Lineage: Bacteria
Description: partial 16S ribosomal RNA
Rfam family: Bacterial small subunit ribosomal RNA
Source: RNAcentral